ACCAGUGAGUGGCAGGAGUCGGGUGUGAGACGUAGGGGGACGUGGGGGUCCGGGUGUAGUGGGCGUAAAGGGAGCGUGGUUGGUUCGGUAAGGGGGGUGUGGAAGCGUCAGGGUCAACAUGGAGACGCCGCCCGGUAGUGCCGUGACGAGAGUCCAGUAGGGGAGCGUGGAAGUCCUGGUGUAGCGGUGAAAUGCGGAGAGAUCAGGAGGAACACCAGCGGCGAAGGCGGCGCUCUGGGCUGGCACUGACACUGAGGAGCGAAAGCGUGGGGAGCGAACAGGAUUAGAUACCCCGGUAGUG
Molecule: ribosomal RNA, 301 nt
Filed under: uncultured Sulfobacillus sp.
Lineage: Bacteria; Bacillati; Bacillota; Clostridia; Eubacteriales; Clostridiales Family XVII. Incertae Sedis
Description: bacterial SSU rRNA
Rfam family: Bacterial small subunit ribosomal RNA (bases 57-301)
Source: RNAcentral